Schistocerca serialis cubense is the source of this 544-nucleotide long non-coding RNA. RefSeq lists it as uncharacterized. Lineage: Eukaryota; Metazoa; Arthropoda; Insecta; Orthoptera; Acrididae. The record is from RefSeq and is a predicted model, not a curated record. The transcript is spliced from 2 exons.
ACGCUGGUGCUGGGGCGACACGUGGACGGCCGUUACGCUCUGCUGGACCUCCCUCACAGCGAAACCACCUUGCCCCUGCCUAUAAAACCACGCACUGGACGCGGGUACAGCGUACAGACUCCCAGGUCUCAUCAAGACGCUGCGUCACUCCCGUCAGGACAUCAUGAAGGCUAUCGUGUUACCGCUGCUGCUGCUGCUGGGCGUGUUGGCGCUGUCGGCGGCGGGCCCCGCCCCCCUGGCUCGCCCCCAGCCGCUUCCGCUGCCCCUGAGGCAGGCGGCGCCCGCUGCCGCCCCCGAGCCGGCCGGCCGCGAGUCGCUGACGCCCAGCGAGCAGUUCUACUACGGCUACUACUACCCCGCCUACUCCUACUACCUGCUCGGCUAGGCUAGGCCGCUACUACGGCUACUACUACCCCGCCUACUCCUACUACCUGCUCGGCUAGGCUAGGCCGCCUGCUGACAGCACCGGACAGCCACCACCAGGCGAACGACCCUGUAACGCCAACGUUGUUUUAUCGUACCAAUAAAGUAUUGUGAAUCGGCA